UAACAGUGUGUUGAUUGGACUCAUCCGGC
RNAcentral lists this non-coding RNA (29 nucleotides) under Rattus norvegicus (Norway rat). Lineage: Eukaryota; Metazoa; Chordata; Mammalia; Rodentia; Muridae. The record is from RNAcentral.